UUUUUACAAAAUGACUGAUCAAUACUGUGAGAACGAAAGUUCUUGCUUUAAACUAGAUAACAACUUUCAGCAGUGGAUGUCUAGGCUCGCACAUCGAUGAAGAACGCUGCGAACUGCGAUACGUAAUGCGAAUUGCAGAAUUCAGUGAGUCAUCGAAAUUUUGAACGCAUAUUGCACUUUCGGGUUAGACCUGGAAGUAUGUCUGUAUCAGUGUCCGUACAUCAAACUUGCCUCUCUUUUUUCUGUGUAGUCAGGAUUGGAGACGUGCAGAUGUGAAGUGUCUCGCGCACUUGCGUCUUCGGACGACAAGCUGUCGAGUCCUUUUAAAGCGACACGAUCUUUCUAUUGUUUCUGUGAAGCGUAUUGCUCGAACGCGGUGAUUUUCGGAUCGCUCGCAGUCGUCGGCGACUUCGGUGAGAACAUAAAGGAGGAAACCUCAAUUCGCGGUAUGUUCGGCUUCGGCUCGACAAUGUUGCUUAUUGUGUGUGGAAUCUGUUUUCGCCUUGAGGUGUACUGAUGGUUGUGUGCUUGAACUGGGAGUCGGUGUGUAGUAGAGUGGUGCAGCAUGCAUGGUUACGCCUUUUAUAUAGAGAGAUGUCUAUUUGGGAAAGUUGUACUUUUUGGCAAGCAUCUUGCCGACUGUAUCUCAAUUGGACCUGAUAUCAGACAAGACUACCCGCU
This is a ribosomal RNA of 681 nucleotides. The stretch from base 62 to 216 matches the Rfam family "5.8S ribosomal RNA".